UGCCUCAACCUCCCCAGCAGCUGGGACUACAGGUGCCCGCCACCACGCCCGGCUAAUUUUUUUGUAUUUUUAGUAGAGACGGGGUUUCACCGUGUUAGCCAGGAUGGCCUCGAUCGCCUGGCCUCGUGAUCUGCCCGCCUCGGCCUCCCAAAGUGCUGGGAUUACAGGCGUGAGCCACCGCGCCCGGCCGGAUUAAUUGCAUAUCUAAGGUGAGGCCCGGGGCUCUACGUUCACCAUGGUCCCCUCAUUAAAAGCUGUGAAGUCAAACACCAAGACCCAGAGAAUUUAAUACUAAUACGUGGCCCAAGUUAGACAGCAAGUGCAUGACAAAGAUAGAACAUGACCUUAGCGCCACCCAAAUACAAAGGACAGACUCUUCUCAGGCACAUUGCGUCUGAGGCCUGUGAGGUCGCUGGGCCUGUCAGGAGGCCUGGCUUCCUCCCGCUCCCUGCUCCUUCUCAGAUUCUGUCAUGAUCAACUUCCCAGGAAACUCGAAUGUUCUAUUUUAUUUCAGGAACUAAAAAUAAGGAAGAUUCUCUGACAAAAUUGCAUGAAAUGCAUCCUGUCCUUCUUUCUCAUUUCAAGCAUGAAUGAACUCGGUGUGAGGAGACUAAGCCAGGCGGCAGGGGUCUAGCAUUUCCCGCCUGUGGGUGCAGGAGGCAGACAUCUUAAUUUUUAGAGCUGCUCUGUAGGCACUUUACAGCUUCCUCUUCUAGCUGCUCAGGCCAUAAAUCUCUAGACUGCCAGGCUCCAAACUCAUGGGGAAUGUCCUGCACCCCAGCAGCAAGUCCUGCAAACACAACACUGGGUCAUACGUGGCCCAUAAAUAACGCGCACGUUGAGCCUCAACCUCAGCUGGUGAGGUCUGCUGUCCGGAGGCCGUGGACUUGCGAAGGCCUGAAUGAGCCCCUCCAGACUGCCCAAGACAGAGGGUGACACUUCCUGGUGGUGGAGAACCCGGCAGCAUCAGCAUCAGGUUAGACAGAAACAGCAACAAGGAUAAAUCCUGCAGGAAAAUAGGGAGAGCCUGAUGGGAUAGGACCGCCCAGUGCUGCAAGCUUGUGCCUUUUCUGGAUACUUCCAUGGUGCAGGUCACUGCAGUCUGGGAAGUGCCUGCUUGGCCCUGUCCCAUAGCAGGCACUCGGCCACCUUGCUGAGAGUGAGGAGACGGAGCUCACAGGCUGGGCAGAGAGACACAGAGACCCAACGGCUGGGGAGGGGAACACUGCCCCCCAAGUCUGAGGGAGUGUGAGGUUGUGGGGAAAUUGUUGGAGGAGCCUGCGGAUAUGCAUGGGGCCCACAGCCCCUGCCCAGGGCACCUGCAUCUUCCAUCAGCCUGGGCAUGGAGAGUGACCCCGCCACCAAGCCCAGCCCUGCUCUGAGCCUUGGAGUGUUGGGUUCAGGACAGUGAGGAGACCAGGCCCACUUCUCCUGCCGCUUCAGGGUCUUGGGGUGUAGUCCUUACCAGACACUAUACUUCUGUACCUAAUCGUACAGGGGCAAGUGGAGUUGACAGAGGGUCAUGAGCAGGCAUGAUUGCUGGCCUAGAGCACUGACUGCGCAUGUGCCCUGCAUCAGGGUCUCCUGUGGUCCAAACGUGUCUCCUCCAGAAUCCAAAUGUUGAAACUCAAGGCCUAUCGUCAUGGCGUUGGGAGGUGGGGCUUUGAGAGGUGAUUAGGCCCUGAGGGCUCCUCUCUUGUGAAUAGGAUGAAGGCCUUCAUAAAAGAGGCUUCACAUAGGGUUUGGCAUCUUUCUUUUCCGUCUCUCCUCAUGUGAGGACACAGUGUUCCUCACCUUCAGAGGACACAGCAUCGAGGCACCAUCUUGGAAGGAGAGAACAGCCUUCCCCAGACACUGAACCGCUAGUGCCUUGAACUUGGAUUUCCCAGCCUCCAGAACUAUGUGAAACUAGUUUCUGUUCUUUAUAAAUUAUCCAGUCUCGGGUAUUUGUUGUAGCAGCACAAAUGAACUAAGACAUGAUCUUAGCAUGCACUGAGCCCAUGGUUUUCCUGUAAAAUGAAAAUAUUUGCACCUAUCGCAGGGGCUGUUAUGAGGCCUGGAGAUAAUGUGCCAACAACUAGCAGAUAGUAGGAGCACUGCUGAUGGUGGUUACCAGGGCGAUGAAGCCUAGCUCUCCAGUCGGGCUUAAGGACACACUCAUGCAGAUGGGAUUCUUAGGACUCCUCCAAGUCAUUUCUAACACAUGGAACUUGUGGGUUAUUUCCCCUUCAUUUCAGGUCCUCUAUCGAGGGAACCUGGGUCCUGGGACAAAGCUGCCACUAUGGCCAUGGGAGGAAGCACUGAGCAGGGAGGGGAAGCGGAGACAGCCCAGUCUCUCCCUUAACAGAGCAGCCCUGACAGCUGGCAUCAGACAGUGCCCGUGACGAGGUCAGGGCCACUAGGCAACACUUUUCAGAUGGAAAAGCUGAGACACAGAGAAGUUCCUUGAGUUGCCUGAGAUCACAGAGCAGCAGGGCCAGGACCCGGUCCCAGGAAGUUCCACUGCAGGCCCGGCUCUAACCCUCAUCACUGUGGUGGUGGCCUUCAGUUUGAGUUGGGUCAGAAUGAUCAGGUCAUCAUUUUAUAAACCAGAGAAGAAAAUCGUUUCCAUUAAUGCUGAAUAUUGGUGCCACUGAAGUUAUAAUACCCUGUUGCUGAUGCCACUGUAGAAGGCUAUGUUGU
Molecule: long non-coding RNA, 2682 nt
Filed under: Homo sapiens (human)
Lineage: Eukaryota; Metazoa; Chordata; Mammalia; Primates; Hominidae
Description: HSALNT0253423
Source: RNAcentral